Molecule: long non-coding RNA, 2633 nt
Organism: Phragmites australis (common reed)
Lineage: Eukaryota; Viridiplantae; Streptophyta; Magnoliopsida; Poales; Poaceae
Exons: 2
Source: RefSeq, a predicted model, not a curated record
UCCCACCCGUGUUCUUCCGCAACGAGUCUACCUGUCUCUCUCUCUCUCUGCACGCUGCAGCACCAGAAAGAUUCCUAGUCCAUCCCCCCACUUCGGCGCCCCACUGUUGCCACCCCUCCCCCCGUCACAUCCUCCGCCCAAUGCGGCAUAUAAAUCCCAGAUCCAGAUCUCCCACACCUCACUUCCCUCUUGCUACACACAUCUCCUCCACCUCGUAUGUACGCGCGUAUCUGAUCUCGCAGGUGUUUCUUGCUGGUGUUGUUAUGCUGCCGUCCCUGCUUUUUCUUUCCUACUUCAGUUUCUUGCAUUGAUCCGUGUUCAUUCAGUUUAUCCAGGGGUGGCGGCUGGGCGCAGUGGUUUAUCGAUCCCUUCCCUGCCUUGUGCUGAUCCGGGGGUGGUGGUUUAGUUUCUUGGGAGAUGUUUCUUGUUGCAGCAGACAACAACGCGGGAAUCGAUCGAUAAACCUCUGCAUCCAGCUCUCACUUUUUUGUUCAAGGGCGUGAGGCACCGGCUGCUGCUUCUUGGUUCUUGCUCAUGGAGUUUAUAUUUAAUAUCUGAUAUAUAAUAACUAUGAGUGACUCCUUGCAUGAUUUAACUUGUAUAGAGUAUUAUAGAUAGAGAUUUGGUGUGCCCUUCAAGCAGCUUCAAUUCGUUAGUCGCGAUGUUUACUUCAUGGAUACGUUCGUUAUUUUUUAGCUACAUAGUUGAUGCAUACACACACAAUAUAGCAUGUCCGCUUCUAUUUAUUGUAAGGGGAAAAAAAAAGAAAAACAAGUGCAGCGUGUCUGCUCAGUACUUAGGCACCAGAACCUAGCUUCAGUUUUUGUUUUGUUAACAAUGUUUGGUUCUGAUUAGAUGAUGCUUGGGCUACUCUAUGCUUCCGAGGUUUCUGGUUGGUUAGAGGUAUCUUGGCUAGUGGGGAUAAGUUCUCUUGCUCGGUUAUUUAACAAUUUGCCACUAUUACGAUUGAGUGAUUAACAAUUUAUCACCCUGAUCCACUGUCAGUGACCCAGAUAGGCCCAUAUGCCAGUGAGAGAGCAGAAUUGACACUCAUAAGAGUGGCAAAUCCAACUGCUCUAGAAAGUAUAGCCUGCAUUGGAGGUAGGAACCAUUAAGGGAAGGUGGAUGCCCUGGGGAUCUUGCUUGCUACCGUCAUCCCUAGUAUAGUUUCCAGUUUGUUGGGGUGAAUCAUAUUCAUGACAGUCACAGUGGUUCUAUUCUUGUUCAGAGAUCUCGUGCAUACUGAACUAUUCUCCACUUUAUUAUUCUUUUGUCUUGCAUGCUAAAAAUUGGAUGAACAGCUGAAUUUGGAUUCAAGAAUGUUGAAGAGCUUUAUUCAGGCUUCACAUGAACCGGUAAUAAUAGUAUUUAUCACUGCCGGUUGCUAACAUGAACUGACAGUGAUAGUUGGACUAUCAAUGUUAGGUCCAGCCUUGAACCGGCAGUGACAUACACAUCUCAUGUCACAAAACAUUCACAUACAUGCAAGUUUCACAUACAAUUCUCAUCACAGAUCAUUCACAUACAUGCACAUUUCUCAUACUGUUCACACCACAUAUCAUUCAUAUACAUACACGUUUCACAUACAGUUCACAUCACAGAUCAUUCAUAUACAUGCACAUGUCACAUUCAGCAAAAUAUAAUACAAGUCAAGAUAUAGAAUUGGCAUGCAUAUAGUUCAUUCACCACAUUACAAAUAUGGUUCAUUCACUACACUUUUGCUUGAUUCUACUCGGCAUGUCGAAUGAGAUAGUUUGCAAAGUUUAUUAAACCUACAAUUUCGACUCCAAAGAUUUCAUCCACAUGAAUUAGUGCAUACAUGAGUGAACUAUCUCGGGUUUCAUAGGGACGAUCCAAUGCCUUUCCAUAGAUAGUGAAACAGUUGAUAAUUGAACAAAAAUGAAUAUGGGCCUGAUACUUGCCUUCAGGAGCCUUGUUCACUGUGGGGCCAUAGACUAUGUACCCAAGCUGCUCCAUGACAUGAUGUAAGAUUGCAGCCAAGCUAAUAUCCGUGUGCAUCAAGCUAUUAUAGAGAAAAUCCUAUAGGCAAAGAGCAGCAACACAGAGGGGAAAAAAAUCAUACUAUUGAAAAGAUCCUGCAGGCAAAGUGCAACAACCUAGGUUAUCAGAUGCAUGUAAUUGCGAAAGCCUGUGAAUCAUCGAAGCCACAUCCUCCUGUAGUAGUGCUUUUGAUAUAGUUGUUCAAUGCCACAAUCUCGCUGAUGCUAAGCGCUGUUCUUGUAGAACAAAGUAGGCAAAAAUUUCCAUGUAUAUGUUUCAGACUUUCAGUUAUAGGCUAACCUAACGGCCAUAGUCCUACCACUGUUGGUUUGUGGCUCGACAUGCAUGAGAUAACUUUUUUCUCUAGAAUACGCUCCUGCGUAUCUUUGUAUUGAGAAAAUAAUAGUUCAAGGACAUGCACGAGAUAACGAGGUUAGAGUCUUAAGAGACAUAAGCAUUCCCAGAAAACUGAAGUUAGGAGCAGUCGCUUGUCUUGGAUGCAUAUUCUAACGAAGGAGAGUCUGAAGUAAUCUAGAGAAAAAAAGAAGGCUUGGAUACUCAUAGCAUGAGUGCAUGACUUUACACUGCAGUUGCUACUCAUAUAUCUCAGUUAUGAACAUAUGUUGUCUCUC